UACGGCUCAGUAACACGUGGAUAACCUGCCCUUGGGUCCGGCAUAACCCCGGGAAACUGGGGAUAAUUCCGGAUAACGCAUAUAUGCUGGAAUGCUUUCUGCGUAAAAUGGAUUCGUCUGCCCAAGGAUGGGUCUGCGGCCUAUCAGGUAGUAGUGGGUGUAAUGUACCUACUAGCCGACGACGGGUACGGGUUGUGAGAGCAAGAGCCCGGAGAUGGAUUCUGAGACAUGAAUCCAGGCCCUACGGGGCGCAGCAGGCGCGAAAACUUUACAAUGCGGGAAACCGUGAUAAGGGGACACCGAGUGCCAGCAUCAUAUGCUGGCUGUCCGGGUGUGUAAAAUACACCCGUUAGCAAGGGCCGGGCAAGACCGGUGCCAGCCGCCGCGGUAACACCGGCGGCCCGAGUGGUGAUCGUGAUUAUUGGGUCUAAAGGGUCCGUAGCCGGUUUGGUCAGUCCUCCGGGAAAUCUGAUAGCUCAACUAUUAGGCUUUCGGGGGAUACUGCCAGGCUUGGAACCGGGAGAGGUAAGAGGUACUACAGGGGUAGGAGUGAAAUCUUGUAAUCCCUGUGGGACCACCUGUGGCGAAGGCGUCUUACCAGAACGGGUUCGACGGUGAGGGACGAAAGCUGGGGGCACGAACCGGAUUAGAUACCCGGGUAGUCCCAGCCGUAAACGAUGCUCGCUAGGUGUCACGCAUGGCGCGACCGUGUCUGGUGCCGCAGGGAAGCCGUGAAGCGAGCCACCUGGGAAGUACGGCCGCAAGGCUGAAACUUAAAAGGAAUUGGCGGGGGAGCACAACAACGGGUGGAGCCUGCGGUUUAAUUGGACUCAACGCCGGACACUCACCGGGGGCGACAGCAAUAUGUAGGCCAAGCUGAGACUUUGCCUGAUCGCUGAGAGGAGGUGCACGGCCGUCGCAGUUCGUACUGUGAGCAUCCUGUUAAGUCAGGCACGAGCGAAAACCCGGUGGCCCACUGUUUACCAAGCAUAUUCCUUCC
This 1000-nucleotide ribosomal RNA is filed under the name uncultured archaeon. RNAcentral's name for it is "bacterial SSU rRNA". It matches the Rfam family "Archaeal small subunit ribosomal RNA", at positions 84 to 1085 of the family's 1478-position model. The record is from RNAcentral.